Molecule: non-coding RNA, 237 nt
Organism: Vicia faba (fava bean)
Lineage: Eukaryota; Viridiplantae; Streptophyta; Magnoliopsida; Fabales; Fabaceae
Source: the annotation of a GenBank genome assembly
AUGAGAAGAGGAAAAAUAAGUAAAGUUAUGUUGUUGUUAUUUUUGUUCGAUUACAAAAAUAAAAAAUCUUUUGUUCAAACUUCAGACAAGAAACAGAGAAUACAUAGAGAACCAUCCAAUAACUCUGCUCAAAAACACAAAAUAUUCUACCAAAAUCACUGUAAAUUGCUCUCUACCCUCUCCAAACCCUUAAACAAACCACUCAAAGUCUGCUCAACUCUCUAUAAACUCUAUUGA